CAGCACAGCACGGGACUUUAGUGAAAACAAUCUCGUUAAGGAGGCCAAUACGGCACUUAGAAGAGUGCAAUAUUCAUUGCUUGGGUCAACUUUGGCACAAAAAUACCCGGACAUGCUUUGGGACCGACCGAAACCUGGGACCAAGCUCUCAACGAGACGUCUCUGGAGUGUAUUCAUGUGCCGGUUAACAGCGAGGCGAAAGAUG
Molecule: long non-coding RNA, 205 nt
Organism: Ixodes scapularis (black-legged tick)
Lineage: Eukaryota; Metazoa; Arthropoda; Arachnida; Ixodida; Ixodidae
Exons: 3
Source: RefSeq, a predicted model, not a curated record